Non-coding RNA from Dentipellis sp. KUC8613, 87 nucleotides. NCBI's taxonomy places the organism in Eukaryota, Fungi, Basidiomycota, Agaricomycetes, Russulales, Hericiaceae. The record is from the annotation of a GenBank genome assembly.
UCCCGCUUAGCUCAGUUGGUAGAGCGCGUCACUAGUAUCUAUGAGAAGCUUAUGACGAGGUCAGUCGUUCAAGUCGGCUAGUGGGAA